This is a long non-coding RNA of Dreissena polymorpha, 1405 nucleotides long. RefSeq lists it as uncharacterized. The record is from RefSeq and is a predicted model, not a curated record. The transcript is spliced from 3 exons. Lineage: Eukaryota; Metazoa; Mollusca; Bivalvia; Myida; Dreissenidae.
UGAUGUAUGGACUUUUACACCAGGCUUUUACCCUGCACGAGCUGGCCAACUUGAGGGGAACUGAAGUGGGCAAACCUCGCCCUGUCCUUGAACAAGAAAGCUUGAUUUGUUGAGAGAGUAUCAUUUAAGCUGAAAUCCAGCAUGAAACCAGGGAGGUGAUGGCCAUCGCACAGGCCACGUGCCGACUAUUCACUUUCCACCAGCUUGUGACUUGCUCCAUGAAGGGAGCAACAACUACAACUGGGUCACCAAGACCAAGCCUCCCCGCUGCUGAGAGAAAUGCAAUCAUUGAUGUCAUAGCCAAAACCUUUGACAAGCCUCUGGUUGAUGUUGAAGAAAAGAUGAGAGGUUGUUUAAGGCAUCUGCGGCUGAUGCACAAGUAGACUGAAGUCUUUGUUAAUAAAAUGUGCUGUUAAAAUGAUUAUUUAACCAUUGUUUUCACUUUGUUAUAUAGAUUUGCACCUGUUUCAACAACAUUAACUUAUUUUUAUGCUCCCGGUAGGGUCUCAUAUAGCAGUUGAACUGUCCGUCUGUCUGUCUAUCCGUCCGAAAACUUUAGCAUUGGUCAUAACUUUUGCAAUAUUGAAGAAAGCAACUUGAUAUUUAGCAUGCAUGUGUUUCUCAUUGAGCUGCACAUUUUGAGUGGUGCAAGGUCUAGGUCAUCCUUCAAGGUCAGAGGUCAAAAUCCAAUGGAAGAAACAAGGGCUGUUUGUAAAACAUGCAUGCCCCCCAUAUGGGCUGUCCGUUGUAGUGGCAGCCAUUGUGUGAAUACGAUUUUUGUCACUGUGACCUUGACCUUUGACCUAGUGACCUGAAAAUCAAUAGGGGUCAUCUGCAAGUCAUGAUCAAUCUACCUAUGAAGUUUCAUGAUCCUAGGCGUAUGAGUUCUUGAGUUAUCAUCCGAAAACCAUUUUACUAUUUCGGUAAACCGUGACCUUGACCUUUGACCUAGUGACCUGAAAAUCAAUAGGGGUCAUCUGCGAGUCAUGAUCAAUCUACCCAUGAAGUUUCAUGAUCCUAGGCGUAUGCGUUCUUGAGUUAUCAUCCGGAAACCAUUUUACUAUUUCAGGUCACCGUGACCUUUGACCUAGUGACCUCGAAAUUGAAAGGGGUCAUCUGCGAGUCAUGAUCAAUCUACCCAUGAAGUUUCAUGAUCCUAGGCGUAUGCGUUCUUGAGUUAUCAUCCGGAAACCAUUUUACUAUUUCGGGUCACCGUGACCUUGACCUUUGACCUAGUGACCUCAAAAUCAAUAGGGGUCAUCUGCGAGUCAUGAUCAAUGUACCUAUGACGUUUCAUGAUCCUAGACCCAAGCGUUCUUGAGUUAUCAUCCGGAAACCACCUGGUGGACGGACCGACCGACCGACAUGAGCAAAGCAAUAUACCCCCUCUUCUUCAAAGGGGGGC